RNAcentral lists this ribosomal RNA (420 nucleotides) under bacterium. RNAcentral's name for it is "partial 16S ribosomal RNA". It matches the Rfam family "Bacterial small subunit ribosomal RNA", at positions 355 to 776 of the family's 1533-position model. The record is from RNAcentral.
UGGGGGAUAUUGCACAAUGGGCGAAAGCCUGAUGCAGCGACGCCGCGUGGGGGAUGAAGGCUUUCGGGUUGUAAACCUCUUUCGCUAUCGAACAAGGCCCGCUUAGGGUGGGUUGAGGGUAGGGGGAGAAGAAGCGCCGGCUAACUACGUGCCAGCAGCCGCGGAAAUACGUAGGGCGCGAGCGUUGUCCGGAAUUAUUGGGCGUAAAGGGCUUGUAGGCGGCUUGUUGCGCCUGCUGUGAAAACGCGGGGCUUAACUUCGCGCGUGCAGUGGGUACGGGCAGGCUUGAGUGUGGUAGGGGUGACUGGAAUUCCAGGUGUAGCGGUGGAAUGCGCAGAUAUCUGGAGGAACACCGAUGGCGAAGGCAGGUCACUGGGCCAUUACUGACGCUGAGGAGCGAAAGCAUGGGUAGCGAACAGG